AUGGGGACUAGCCCGGGUGGUUCGGCGUCACCUGUAACCCGAAAUCGCCGGUAUGCGGAGGGCGAAGUCUGAGGAAGGCUCUGGCGAUCUGCAGGCGUCUUGUGCGUCCUGACUGAGAAGCCUUGUCCCAUGAGGUCGACGUACAGGGAUCGAUGCCUCGUAGGGGGCGGAGACCUGGCACCGCGGAAACCGGUUCAGGCCCGGAAGGGAGCAGACUUACCGUGGACGUUUGGCGCCCAUGGGGGUGCGGGGUGGAGAAGGGAUGUCCUGGCAAAUGCAGGCACGUGCUGUCGACCGAAGACCCGUCCCCAA
This is a non-coding RNA of Methanofollis liminatans DSM 4140, 312 nucleotides long. NCBI's taxonomy places the organism in Archaea, Methanobacteriati, Methanobacteriota, Methanomicrobia, Methanomicrobiales, Methanomicrobiaceae. The record is from Rfam.